This 7653-nucleotide long non-coding RNA is filed under the name Anthonomus grandis grandis. RNAcentral's name for it is "uncharacterized LOC126743009". The record is from RNAcentral. Lineage: Eukaryota; Metazoa; Arthropoda; Insecta; Coleoptera; Curculionidae.
UCAUUUCAGGCUUCUUUAACCUGAAACCAAUUAUCUUUAACAUAUAUUGAAAAGUUUUUUUUGUUUUAAUUUUAAAGACAAUUUUCCUCUUCACAAUUCGUUCAUUUAAAAAAAAACAGAAUGACAAAACUAAUAUAAUAAUUUAAAAAAUAUAUAAUUUUGUUAAUAUUUUUAAAAACUCAUUAAAAAUGAAUAGAAAUUUUAAAGAUAAAGCAAUGAUACUAGUCUAAAAAACCCAAAAAUAAUUUCAAAUAUUCAUUAUCUUAAGACUAGUAAGUAAUAAACGGUUUUAUCGAAAUUUUAAAGAUAAUUAUUUAAUUUUUUAGGCUACUUUAAACAACCUAAUCUUUAUUCCUUUAUUGCCAUAUACGGACCAUAGAACAGCUCAAUAAUACUGAGCAAUAAGAUCUGAACUCAAGUUAUAUUAAUUCAAAUAUCAAAAAAAACUAAAUAAAAUGGCCAUAGAUACUUAAAAUACGUAUUUUUAGCGGAUCCUAAUAGCCCGGAUUGUUCGGUUAAGUGUACUCCUCUCAUAUUGAGAAUCUGCUAUACAUACACUAUAAGCAGAUUGAAUCAAGAAAAUUUGCUCAAAAAAAAAAUUUUAGUAUUUUACCUCUAAAAAGUAUUAACAAUGAACUUAGUGUAUUUAUUAUUAAAGAUAUUAUAUUUUAGUGAAGAACGGUACUAAGGACAUAACCUAUCAGAUAUUCCUAUAUAGCAAUUUGUAAAUAAUUUUAAAGAUAAUCUCUUUAAAACCCGAUCCGGGCUCUUAGAAGUGAAGAAGAAUUUUUUACUCAAGAAAGGUGCCACCCCCCUCCAAAGGCUUGGUACCACUUUACUCUGUGUUGUGAUCUUUUUAAAGUCUAUUACUAUGAAUCUAUAUCUAUAUUAAUACUUACAAGAUAUUUGUAUAUGUUAUUAUUAUUAUUAUUAUAUUAUUAUUAAUUGUACGUAUGAUAUUAGAGUAUUUUAUAUUAUAGAGGCCUACGUUAUCGACCACGAGUAAAUGGGCUCAUCGACCUUUGACAAUCUGUGUGUGUGUUUUCUUAUAAUAUAAAGGUGACCAUCCUUUUUGUUUGUAGUUAAAUGUAUAGCGGCUAAAUGUGUGAGAAAACCCCGCAGUACCACCCUCCUACGUGUACCUUUCGCAGUACUGCAAAUACCAAAAUAUUACAGGAUAAUUAUUAUUAAUUUUAAAAAAAUAAUUAAACGCAAUAAACUAGAAAACAAUCAGAGAGACUGUACUGAAAACGUGUGCCAAACAAAUUGAGUAUUUGCAGGACUUGGAUCUUUCAGCAGUGUUUUGUGAGAUAACUAAUGGGUUGUACUAUAUGUCUCUAGGUUUUAAUGGUCGAACCUCCUGAGGUUCUUGAUUGCGUUUAUGUCACUUGAACUGUCAACUGUCAGACAAAUGAGACUCCUGUUGUUAACCUUCUUGCUUGAACUGUCAGUUGUCAUUUAUUUGAAUUGUUAAAGUCAUUCUGAUGUGACGUAAAAUACGUCAUACGUCAAUGACGUGUGCCAUGGGAAACCCUGGUUUAACGUCAAAAAUGACAAAAUUUCUCAAACUCUUCAUUUAAUUAAAAUUUGUUAAAAAUUGAGGCAAAUCUGGGGAAUUUUCAACGAUCAACUUGGUAACCUUGGACCUGCUUAUAUUGGCGAACUGUCAAAUGUCAAUUCGCAUCCUGAAUACAUUACCUCUAUACAAUUUUAUACUUCAUGGUAUUAAUAAGGUAGCCAAUGUCCUUUGAUCUGUUUGAAAGUUGUGUGCAGUGACAUUUUGCCCAUAGUAGGCAAUUGACCCUCCUGUAAUUCACCUUCUUGCUUGAGGUGUCAGUUGUCAUUUGAAUCGUAAAGGUCAUUCCGAUAUGACGUAAUAUAGGAUGACGUUAGUGUCAUAAAAAACCCUGGUUUAAUGUCAAAAAUGACAACAUUUCUUUAAGGAAAAAAAUCCUGAUUGUAGUGGCGAACUGUCAAAUGUCAAUUCGCAUCCUGAAUACAUUACUCUAUACAAUUUUAUACUUCAUGGUAUUAUUAAGUUAGCCAAUGUCCUUUGAUCUGUUCGAAAGUUGUGUGCAGUGACAUUUUGCCCAUAGUAGGCAGUUGACCCUCCUGUAAUUCACCUUCUUGCUUGAGGUGUCAGUUGUCAUUAGAAUCCUAAAUGUCAUUUCACUUUAACAUAUCAUCAGAUGACGCUUGUGUCGUAGAAAAUCCUUGUUCUCUGUCAAGAUUGUCAAAAUCUGUUGUUUUAAUAUUUUCCCUAAAUUUUGUGCAGUGACUUACAGGUUCUAUUGAUCAGGUUUAACGUAAAAAUACGAAAAUCUCUCUGCAUUUACUUAUUAAAUUUGUUGAAAAUUGCGAGAAAUCUGGGAAAUUUUGCUACGAUUAAUCUGGCAACCUUGGAUCAGUAUACCUUGAAGAACUGUCAAAUGUCACUUGAAUAAGUUAUGUGCAGUGACAUUUUGCCUAUAGGCAGUUGACCUUCCUGUGAUUGGCCUUCUUGCUUACGUCAUUGCACUUGAAUUGUCAUUUAAAUCUUAAAUGUCAUUUUAAUUUUGCUUGUGUUAUAGCUUCCCUGUCAAGUUUAACGUCAAGAUUGUCAAAAUUUCUGGUUUUAAUAUUUCCCCUGAGUUUUGUGCAGUGACUUACAAGUUCUAUCUAUUAGAUUUAACGUAAAAAUGCCAAAAUCUCUCUGCAUUUACUUAUAAAAAAAUUAAAUUUCUUGAUAAUUGCGACAAAUCUGGGAAAUUUUGUUACGAUCAAUCUGGCAACACUGGGUCAGUAUACCUUGAAGAACUGUCAAAUGUCACUUGAAUCAGUUAUGCGCAGUGACAUUUUGCCCAUAGACAUUCGACCUUCCUGUGAUUUACCUUCUUGCUUGCGUCAUUGCACUUGAGUUGUCAUUUGAAUCCUAAAUGUCAUUUUAAGUUGACGUAUGAAGAUAAUAUUUGUGUCAUGCAAAAAGACUGGAUAGAAGGAGACUGAUCUCCGUGGUUCGCAACGUAGCCACCUCGGCGCUGUUGAUUUUAUCCUUAUAAUUAAUUUUACUGUUUCGCAAAGAAUAAUACAAUCGUUAUUUAACUAGUUAUCGUUACUCUAUACAAUUUUAUACUCCAUAGUACUAUUAACUUAGUCAAUGUCAUUUCAUUUGUUCGAAAAGUUGUGUACAGUGAUAUUAUGUUUAUAGACAGCAGAGCCUCCUGUGAUUCACCUUCUUGCUUAUGUCACUGUCAGUUAUCAAUUGAGUGUUAACUGUCAUUAAUUUUUUGGCCUACGUAACGUCAAAAAUGGCAAAUUUCUUGUUUCCAGGGUUUUUCCUAAAUACUUUAGGCAUUUAGCAUUCCCAUCAUUUCAAAUUAACCUAGAAGAUCCUCCUGAGUUUCUUCUUCUUUCUCUUCUUUAGUGUUAGCAACGUCACUUGAACUGUCAGUUGUCAAUUGAGUUUCAAAUGCCAUUCGGUGACGUUUGACAUAUGAAUAACGAAUCAUGUUAGCCUUUGAGUUUAGUUGAGUUUAGUAUAAUUUAACAGUCAGUUCUAGGCACAAUUACAUUUUUAUUCUAAUCAUAUUUUUACCCAAAACGUAAUUUUAUGAAUGAGAACUGUACUGUGGUCCUUCGAGCCGAACUGCAGCUUCAAAGAAAAUUUGCAGAAAAUCCAAUUAAUUCCCUUUAAUUUAAAUUCCGUGUUUAUCUUAUGGAAUUUUGAUCUAAAAUUUAAUUUUAUAAAUAAAAAUUAUACCGUUAUUACAGUUUCACAUCAUGACGCAAUAAUUUGUGUUUCCUCGCAAUUAAUUCUGUUGUUCUCAUCGAAUUUUUACAUAAAAUGAGAAUUUAUGUAUAAGAACUAUACAGUGGUCCUUCGAGCCAGAUUGGCUUCUAAAUUACGUCCUUUACAUUAGUUCAAAUAAGCCAGAUGAAGCCUCCUGAAUUUAUUCUUCUUCCUCUUCUUCGUGCUUGUCAAUGUCACUUGAACUGUCAAUUGUCAAUUGAGUUUCAAGUUGCAUAGUGUUGCCAGUGCGUUUUUUAGGUUAAGUAAUAUAUAAUUUAAUACUUUCCUUACUCUACAAUUCAGGGUUGCCACUUGCGAUUCUAAAUUAUUCUAUAUUAACUUAAAAUAUAUUUUUCGUUCUUUUUUUUUUUAUUCUAUCAAGAUUCUAUCAACUCCCAAUUCUCCAAAAUAAUUAUUGAAAAAAUCCCAGUUGUACCAAUGUUUAAUAAAAAUCCAUGGUAUUACACAGUCAAUGUUACUUGAACUGUCAGUUUUUAACAGUUGACAUUCAAAUGUCUCUCUACCUGUCAGCUGUCAGUUAAGUGUCAACGAUGCGCUGUUGCCACAUCAAACACAUUAGUUAUCUCACUCUAAAUUGGAUGUUGCUUGUCCCUGAUUACUCCGAGAUAACCGUAGGCCGCCCAGACUGAGCCAAACGAUAGUAGUCAUAGGUUAUCAGGUGCUCAGACCUAUCAAUUAAAUAAAAUAAUUAAAAUUAUUGUUGUUAUUCGAUGUACCUCUCAUCAGAACUGACGGUCAUUUUGUUGUUCGUAUUACGUCAUUAUGGUAUUUUUAGAUACUCAUCUAUGCCCCUACGCCCUUUUCUCCCUAGCUGCCAGGAGAAAUAUCGAUACCGGCCCCUUUCGUCCAGUAUCGAUAUUUUUCAUUAAACAAAUGAAAGUAUUUUUCAGAGAUUCAUAUCAAAAGAUUCAUAUACAAUGAAUAAAGUUACUAUGUAAGACACUCGCGUGUUCGUCCAGUUCCGUACAAUGAACAGAAAUUUUAAAAACAAAAAGAAAUUUAAAUGUAUAUAAAAUAAAAUCAUGUAUCGCUUUAUAUACAGUACCUCCUAUAUUAUAUAUUUAUUAUUUAUGUUAUUUAUGGAGUUUUUCAGUUUUUCAUUAUAUAAAAGGUUUCUAAACGGCCUAACGUCUUAUCUAAUCGAAAAAAACGAGUUGUUUAGUAUAAAUGUGAUAACAUUAUAGUGUAUGAAAUGUCCGUCAGGUUCUUUUUAUUUUAUUUAUUUAUUUCGUUCGGUAUAUUAUGGGUUUUAGUAUGUGACUUGGCACUGUAUAAUUUUUAAAAACGAUAGGUACACCCCUUACUACUAAACUAGGCAACACGUUUAACACGAUUUAGAGGUUAAAAAAUGAAGAGGUAGGCAACCCGUUUUUAGGCAGUACCUGAUCACAUUUAGCAUAAUUUACAGACGACUGGCACUAUACGAUAGUAACUUAAUCAGAAUCGGACCUUCUAGGCAACAUUGUACUUUUUUUAUAUGACAUUUGGCAACGUUUUAUGAAGUUCUUUACAGCUUACGUAAAUGUGGCAACGUUGUAACGGUAACAAACAAAAGUUUCCCAGAGUUCUCCCAAUAAACUCGAGAAAAUUGAUUCAAAGAAUUCUUUGCAGAUGACAUCGCUAUAUUCAUUGGAUUCUCUUCCAAUGAGUGUUCCAGAAUUGUCCCUACAAAUUCAAGGAAAUUUAUUUUACGUUUUCCUGGAAGACCUUGUAAAAAAAAUUAUUUGCAGAUGACAGCACUAUAUUCACACAAUUGUGUCAUACAAUGUUACCAGAUUGAAUUAUUCUUAUUAGACUAGUUAAAUUGGGUAAAAUAUCGACAAUAUCUUAAAAGAAAAUUGAAAUUAAAUAAAUAUGGCAACGUAGUAAAACAAUUGUCAAAAGUCACGGAAUCUCGGUUAUAAUUCGUCAGAAACGGCUAAAUCUAGUCCCCCAUUCCAAUGUUGCCUUUUUCAGCCGAACUCUUGAUAAAUGGCAAUGUCAAAAUGUGUAUAUAAAUUUAACCGAAAAUCGCUUUUCAAUCUUCAUCAUUCGUUGCCUACAGCGUUGCUACAUUGAAAGUUUCUUAUUUUCUCUCAAAUAAAUGCUUAAUUUAAGUUGACUUAUAAGUAAUUAUUAAGUUCCUAAAAGAAAAUACAACUGGCAACAUUGUAUACUAGUUUGAAAACUGAUUAUCUACUGCACUAAAGGCUAAAUUACACACUUAUUCCAAGGUUGCCAGAGUUGAGCAACAAAUCAGUGCGUGCCUAUUAUUCUAUAGUGCUAAUGGUCUGUAAAGUAUGUGGUACUAUUACAUAAGAAACAUAAUUCUUACAGGAAAUUCAAGGCGUUAAUGAGUAGUGAAAUCUAGUCGAAACUCAAAAAGUUGACUUUUUACGAAUUUUUAGGCUUUUUACGUUAAAACAUUUCUUUAUCAUUUAGAGCAAGUGGCAACCAUGUAUAACAAAUUUCAAAAGCCUGUAAUCAGCAUCUAAAUUAAUAACAAACCGUACUUAUUGUUUUUAAACCUGUGGUUCCUUUUAAUGAUUCUCUACUGGCAACAUUGGACUAGGUAUGAAGCUUAGCCGCUAAUGACGUUAUAGUAGUGAGGGAUAAACCUAUCGAUAGGUAAGAACUAAUGUGCCAACCGGCAACAGCGCGGUGUCACGUGACAUACGUUACUUAGUAAAUUCGUUGCUUUGUAUAUUUGUAAAUAGGCUAAUAUUAAAUGUUCUUGUUAAACGUUUAGUGAAAUCAUCAUAUUUGACGAAAAAAAGGGAAAAGAGAGUUCAUUGUUUUCAGCUUUUUUUUCUUACGUUGUUGCCAUACCGCUGCCAAAUCUGAAAACUUGCUAAAAAAAAAAAGGGAACGGUGGUGAAGAGAAUUGAUGAAAAACGCGUGAUUCGAAAGUAAGGAACGAUACGAAUAUUGAAGCCGAUUAUUUUUCGCAUAACAAUGAACAAAUUAUAAUUUAUCAAGAUGCCUAAAACGUUAAGACCGUUACCCACCUGUACCUGAACGUUUAAAAAACCAUUUUUGUUUUCUGUCUUUUGUUUUUUUUUUAAUUAAGGUUAGGUAAUCUAAUUUCGUUAAAGUCUAUUUUCCUCGAGUGACGAGAUGAAACUGUUAUUUAGUAAAAUAGGAGAUAUCGUGGUUUUAUCUAGGAAACACUAUUCGUGGAAUAAAUGUCUCAAUAAUAAGGAAAUGUGCUCAUUUUAUAUCAAACAAAAAAAAAGUAAUAUUAUGAUACUUAAUCUUUCAAAUAAAUGUCAAUAUAUUAAAUAUGUGAACGUAGCUCAACUUUCCUGUUUCGUUAUCGUGUUUCUUUUGUUGUUUUUUUUUUUAUAAUAAAAUUCUCACGUACUUUAGGCUAUUGAAUAUGUCACAAAAAUGGCGACAAAUGUUCAAUAGAAGUGAGGUUAUGGUCGAUCCAGUUUUUUCAUUUUCACGCGAAAACUAUGCACUUUUUGUAGAUAUUGAGAUUUCCUUUUGAAAACUACCUUUAGAGUUACAAAAAGUUAAUUUUUUAUUAAAUUAUUAUUAAGGCCAUAGGUCAAAUUUUAUUUUAAAAAUAUCCUUUUAUUCCUUUCGUGGACUUAACCUCAAAAACGCAGUAAGUACAUACUCAAUAGCCUACUUGUACGACUAAUAAAAAGACAUGUUAAGCUAUUAUGUGUGUUCAAUUUCCGAAAAUUAAAUAUUGCAUUUACAAUGAACAGAACUUGCAUUUCUAUAUUGGUGGAGCCUCUAAAUUAAAAAUUCAUUAUAAAUGCAAUAAAAUGUUAAUUACUCCUUAGACUCGUUGUUUUUAACUUAUUAUAUAUAUAUAGUGGUUGUUUUCGAUUUCUGUUAAAUAGGUAAUUAUAUUUUCGUUGACCUGCUCA